AGUUUUGGGGUCCUGAGGAGACUUUGCGGGGGAUGUUGGCAUCCCGAGAGUGGUUUGGGGCAGUUUUGGCAUUCUGAGAAAACUUUAUUGUGGUUCUGGGGUCCUGAGAGUGGUUUGGGGCAGUUUUCUAAGUUUUGGGGUCCUGGGGAGACUUUGGGCUGGUUUUGGCAUCCAGAGAGUGCUUUGAGGCAGUUUCUGGAUCCUCAGGAGACUCUGGGGUGUUUUGGGGUUCCAA
Molecule: long non-coding RNA, 235 nt
Organism: Aquila chrysaetos chrysaetos
Lineage: Eukaryota; Metazoa; Chordata; Aves; Accipitriformes; Accipitridae
Exons: 3
Source: RefSeq, a predicted model, not a curated record